AACGAACGCUGGCGGCAUGCCUAACACAUGCAAGUCGAACGAGACCUUCGGGUCUAGUGGCGCACGGGUGCGUAACGCGUGGGAAUCUGCCCUUGGGUUCGGAAUAACAGUUGGAAACGACUGCUAAUACCGGAUGAUGACGUAAGUCCAAAGAUUUAUCGCCCAAGGAUGAGCCCGCGUAGGAUUAGCUAGUUGGUGAGGUAAAGGCUCACCAAGGCGACGAUCCUUAGCUGGUCUGAGAGGAUGAUCAGCCACACUGGGACUGAGACACGGCCCAGACUCCUACGGGAGGCAGCAGUGGGGAAUAUUGGACAAUGGGCGAAAGCCUGAUCCAGCAAUGCCGCGUGAGUGAUGAAGGCCUUAGGGUUGUAAAGCUCUUAUACCCGGGAUGAUAAUGACAGUACCGGGAGAAUAAGCUCCGGCUAACUCCGUG
RNAcentral lists this ribosomal RNA (433 nucleotides) under uncultured bacterium. RNAcentral describes it as "partial 16S ribosomal RNA". It matches the Rfam family "Bacterial small subunit ribosomal RNA", at positions 29 to 507 of the family's 1533-position model. The record is from RNAcentral.